GUACACUUCAAAAUUUAAUAAUCUGUCCAUUCGAGUUGGAAUAUCUGAAAGUAAUGAACAAAUUACCUCUCGCUACCUUGCUGGUUUGAAUCAGUCCCUUAGAGAUGAAAUAGGCAUAGUCCGAUUACACAAUCUUGAAGAUGCUCGCCAAUAUGCCUUAGCAGCUGAAAAGUGAGUUUCUCGUUACAGUGCUAGAAGGUCCAUAAACAAAAGCAAUUGGCAAAAUAAUUUCGGAGCUGCAAGAGGGUUCAAACAAGUCAACAAAGCGGGAAAGAGGCUGCUGUUACUAAUAAAUACAAUGAAGAGACAACCCGUGUUGAUGGGAACGAUAAAGAGAAAGGUACAGUACCUUAUGGUGGACAAAACAAUUAUGGUUCGUCUACAGGGAGAGGCAACAGUUCUCAAGUUUGUUGUUUUACUUGUGGUGAAAAGGGACAUACUUCAUUCAUCUGUCCACAAAGAAGGGUGAAUUUAGGCGAGUAUGAUGAAGACCAAGGCCUUAUUUUUGAUAAAUAUGGUGAGGAAGUAGAAGAAAUUGAUGUUCACCAGCUCAAAGUGAGUCUUUAGUUGUUCGAACAGUCAUGACAACCAUGAAUAAAGAAGGAAAAGAAGAUUGGAGGAGGCGUAGCAUUUUCCGUACACAUGUUAUUUGUGAAGGUAAAGUGUGUAAUUUAGUCAUUGAUGGAGGAAGUAUGGAAAAUAUAAUACAAAGGAGGCUGUAGAUAAAUUAAAGCUUCCCACAACAAAACAUCCUCAUCCAUACAAAGUAGGUUGGUUGAAGAAAGGGCACGAGAUACCAGUAACAUCUCAAUGCUUAAUGCAAUUCACAAUGGGAGAUGAUUUGGUAGAUGAAGCACUAUGUGAUGUAGUACCAAUGGAUGUUGGGCAUAUUCUAGUGGGACGACCUUCGUCGUAUGAUCAUGAUAUGGACCACAAGACAAGGCCUAAUACUUAUUCAUUCUAUAAGGACAACAAGUACACUUUGCAUCCUCUCAAGGAAGAAACACAAGGCAAAUAGCAAAUAAAGGAGCUACAACUAGUAAAUUAAAUGGGCUUGUAAGUGUUAAAGAAUUUGCAGCGGUGCAUAGUGAGGUGGGAGUCACGUAUGCCUUAGUGAGCAAACUGAUAGGAGUUGACCAGGUUGAAAAAUUAGUUGAAUAUUCCUUUGAAAUUCAACGAUUAUUGCAGGAAUUCAAGGAGUUUAUUAGUGAAGAUGUAUUGAAAAGCUUCCGUUAAGAAGCAUCCAAAUUGCUAUUGAUUUAGUACCAGGAGCAGCUUUACCAAAUCUGCCUGCAUACAAAAUGCCUCCUUUACAACGGGCUAAAAUAGAAAGACAGGUUAAGGAAUUAUUGAAAAAAGGUCUGGUGCGUGAAAGUAAAAGUCCAUGUGCCUGCCCAGCCUUAUUAACACCAAAGAAAGACGGUUCUUGGAGAAUGUGUGUAGAUAGUCGUGCUAUAAACAAGAUUACAAUNNNNNNNNNNNNNNNNCUUUUAAGACACCGGAUGGGUUAUUUGAAUGGUUAGUAAUGCCAUUUGGCCUUUCUAAUGCACCAAGCACAUUCAUGAGAGUCAUGACAGAUGUACUCAAACCUUUCUUGAAUUCUUUCGUUGUGGUAUAUUUCGAUGACAUUUUGAUUUAUAGCCGCACCGAGGAAGAUCAUUUAAAACACUUGCGACAAGUGUUAAAAGUACUUCGUCAAGAGCAGCUGCACAUAAACCUGAAAAAAUGCAGUUUCCUGCAACCAGAAAUGGUAUUCCUAGGAUAUAUUGUGUCUACUGAAGGAUUAAAACCAGAUCCAGGAAAGGUUCGUGCAAUUAGCGAAUGGCCAGCACCGGAAUCCGUCAAAGAAGUUAGAAGCUUUCAUAGUUUGGCCUCUUUCUAUAGGAGAUUUAUCCAAAAUUUUAGUUCAAUUAUGAGUCCUACAAUUGAAUCUAUUAAAGAAGAAAAGUUUGAGUGGACAAAUUCUACAUAAAAGGCGUUUGAAAGAAUCAAGUUUUUGAUUACUAGAGCACCUGUUCUUGCACUUCCAGAUUUUGAGAAAUUAUUUAUUGUCAAAUGUGAUGCUUCACAUGAAGGGAUUAGAGCUAUUCUUGGCCAAGAGGGCAGACCUCUUGAGUUUUGUAGUGAGAAGUUGUCUGAAGCUAAGAACCGUUACUCAACUUAUGAUAUAGAGUUCUAUGCCUUGGUACGAGCUAUUCGACAUUGGCAUCAUUACUUAGCUCAUCGUGAGUUUGUGAUUUUUUCUGAUCAUCAAGCCUUGAGGUAUCUAAAAUCUCAGAAUAAACACAACAAUCAAUAUGCUAAUUGGAGUUCUUUCCUUGAUGAAUUUAAUUUCUCACUAAAGUAUAAAUCUGGUCAAUCUAAUAUUGUGCCUGAUGCAUUGAGCAGAAGAUUCCUAAUUUUGUCAAUUUUGAGCGCUCAAAUUACUGGUUUUGAAGAAUUGAAAAUCCAGUAUAAUUUAGAUUCAUGUUUUGGCAUAAUAAAGGCUAAUUUGCUGCAUUCUUCAGAAGCUGAAAGUCUGCCAUAUCGAUUGCAAGAUGGUUAUUUAUUCAAAGGGAAUAAGUUAUGCAUUCCUAAAGGAUCUUUAAGGUUUACUCAUCGGAGUUGAGUCUUUUUCAAACCCGGGGAGAAUAAUGCAAGAGCAAUCCUAGCCCUAAUUGGAUUCCUAGCACAACUAGGAUUUUAUUUAAUUUACUGUUUUAUUUCAGAUUUGCAUUAGUUUUCCGUUUCCUUAUUUGAUUGGGAUUUACUAUUUUAUCAUUGAAUAUGAGUAGAGUUUUAAUUCUUUCUUUAAUUAGGGUUCCUAGUCUAGUUAGGAUUUAUCAAUAUAAAUAGACAACACUAGUAGUAUUGUAAAUCAUCUUAUUUUUCUCAUAAUUUUAAUUCAAAGGUUGUAAACCUACUGUUCCACCUAGCUUACUUGUUGAAAACUGACAGCCCCCCUGCGUCACAAUUAUAACACAAGUUUGGAAUUGAGGUGGGGUUAAGUUUAUUUUAAGGUGGAAUUUACGAGUCGUAGCGUUGGGGUAUCACGAAUGGUUUAGCGGUUUUCCUCAAACUUUCAUAUCAAUAGUACCUUAGAUUAAAGUUAGCCGCUGCCAUAAUCAUAUUAUACCGAUUUUCAAACUAAAAUCAUCUUAUUCAUGCUAAAUUAUUCAUUAGAUUAGUUAAUAACUUAAACUAGUUUGAAAAAAAAUCAAUUUUCCCGAAAUAAAAUCGCAUGAACAAUGUUCAAGAACCUAGUAUCUUCUUAUCCAUGAUUCUACUAACAAUUUCCCCAAAUAAACUAUGAAAUAAGUGAAAUACUUGAAGGAAAAGGAUCAAAUAUAGCUCACCGAGCCAUAAAACGCAUCGGAUGAAGCUAAAUGGUAGUCGAUAAUGAAGAGCUCGGCACCACAGUUCGCUAUCCCUUUCUUUUCUCGCUAAAUCGCAAGCUACAGUUGAUCAGAGAUGGAGGAGUGGUGGUCGUGAGGUACUAGAGAAGAGGUAGGUUGGCCAGUUAUGAAUUGUUGUCCCGAUCGAUAAAAAGCUCCAUCUGUCUCUCUCGUUUUCGCGCCACGAUUGGCAGGCUGGCGAUGGUAAGAACGAUGGCCGGAGAUGUUACUAAAGAGGAGAAGGGAUCAUAUCAGCCGGCUAAGGGCUGGCGUUGCAGGAAAAAUUCCAAGGAAAAGAAGAGGGGUCGGCGGACUCGGAAAGAGAGAAAAAGGAGAAUGGACAAAAUGGAUAUUAUGGAUUUUCUACAGCUUUCUAGUUGGUUAGGGCUGAUUUAGGUUUGAUUUGAGUCCGGUUUGGCUCAAAUCAUGGGUUUUUCUUAGUUUUCAAUUGCUU
This 3828-nucleotide long non-coding RNA is filed under the name Jatropha curcas. RNAcentral describes it as "long non-coding RNA (JCUR_LNC001423)". The record is from RNAcentral. Lineage: Eukaryota; Viridiplantae; Streptophyta; Magnoliopsida; Malpighiales; Euphorbiaceae.